CCUACGGGAGGCAGCAGUCGAGAAUCUUCGGCAAUGGACGCAAGUCUGACCGAGCGACGCCGCGUGCGGGAUGAAGGCCUUCGGGUUGUAAACCGCUGUCAGAGGGGAUGAAGUGUACGGGAGUUAUCUCCUGUAUUUGACAGAGCCUCAGAGGAAGCACGGGCUAAGUUCGUGCCAGCAGCCGCGGUAAUACGAACUGUGCGAACGUUAUUCGGAAUCACUGGGCUUAAAGGGUGCGUAGGCGGCUGCCUAAGUCAGGUGUGAAACUCUCUCGGCUCAACCGGGAAACUGCGCUUGAUACUGGGCGGCUCGAGUGAGGUAGGGUGUGUGGAACUUCCGGUGGAGCGGUGAAAUGUGUAGAUAUCGGGAGGAACGCCAGCAGCGAAAGCGGCACACUGGGCCUUUUCUGACGCUGAGGCACGAAAGCUAGGGGAGCGAACGGGAUUAGAUACCCCGGUAGUCCUAGCCGUAAACACUGUACACUCGAGGAGGGGGUCGGUUCGGUCCGUUCCUUUCUUCUUACGUCGAAGACGUUAACGUUAGUUCCGUCCGUCGGGUAGGUAGUAGGUCGGCGAGGACGUGAACGUAACGAAGUAAAGUAGUAGACGCGNGAGAGACGACGACGACGACGACGGAGGAGGAGG
Molecule: ribosomal RNA, 644 nt
Filed under: uncultured bacterium
Lineage: Bacteria
Description: bacterial SSU rRNA
Rfam family: Bacterial small subunit ribosomal RNA (bases 1-550)
Source: RNAcentral